Molecule: ribosomal RNA, 485 nt
Filed under: uncultured bacterium
Lineage: Bacteria
Description: partial 16S ribosomal RNA
Rfam family: Bacterial small subunit ribosomal RNA
Source: RNAcentral
GAUUGAACGCUGGCGGCAGGCCUAACACAUGCAAGUCGAGCGGAUGAAGGGAGCUUGCUCCUGGAUUCAGCGGCGGACGGGUGAGUAAUGCCUAGGAAUCUGCCUGGUAGUGGGGGAUAACGUCCGGAAACGGGCGCUAAUACCGCAUACGUCCUGAGGGAGAAAGUGGGGGAUCUUCGGACCUCACGCUAUCAGAUGAGCCUAGGUCGGAUUAGCUAGUUGGUGGGGUAAAGGCCUACCAAGGCGACGAUCCGUAACUGGUCUGAGAGGAUGAUCAGUCACACUGGAACUUAGACACGGUACAGACUCCCACGGGAGGCAGCAGUGGGGAAUAUUGGACAAUGGGCGAAAGCCUGAUCCAGCCAGGCCGCGUGUGUGAAGAAGGUCUUCGGAUUGUAAAGCACUUUAAGUUGGGAGGAAGGGAAGUAAGUUAAUACCUUGCUGUUGUGACGUUACCAACAGAAUAAGCACCGGCUAACUUCGUG